GAUGAACGCUGGCGGCGUGCCUAAUACAUGCAAGUCGAGCGAACAGAUAAGGAGCUUGCUCCUUUGACGUUAGCGGCGGACGGGUGAGUAACACGUGGAUAACCUACCUAUAAGACUGGAAUAACUCCGGGAAACCGGGGCUAAUGCCGGAUAACAUUUAGAACCGCAUGGUUCUAAAGUGAAAGAUGGUUUUGCUAUCACUUAUAGAUGGACCCGCGCCGUAUUAGCUAGUUGGUAAGGUAACGGCUUACCAAGGCAACGAUACGUAGCCGACCUGAGAGGGUGAUCGGCCACAAUGGAGCUGAGACCCGGUCCGGACUCGUAAGGGAGCCAGCAGUAGGGAACGUGCCGCAAGGGGCGAAAGCCUCACGGAGCAACGACGCGUGAGUGAUGAAGGUCGUGGGAGCGUAAAACUCUGUUAUUAGGGAAAAAGAAAUGUGUAAGUAACUGUCCACGUUUAGACGGUACCUAAUAAGAACGCCAGGGAAAAACACG
Molecule: ribosomal RNA, 495 nt
Filed under: uncultured bacterium
Lineage: Bacteria
Description: partial 16S ribosomal RNA
Rfam family: Bacterial small subunit ribosomal RNA
Source: RNAcentral